AAAAUGCGAUAAGUAAUGUGAAUUGCAAAAUUCAGUGAAUCAUCGAAUCUUUGAACGCACAUUGCGCCCGCCAGUAUUCUGGCGGGCAUGCCUGUUCGAGCGUCAUUUCAACCCUCAAGCCCCCGGGUUUGGUGUUGGGGAUCGGGCUGCGGUUCUGCCGCGGCCCGGCCCCGAAAUCUAGUGGCGGUCUCGCUGCAGCCUCCAUUGCGUAGUAGCUAACACCUCGCAACUGGAACGCGGCGCGGCCAAGCCGUUAAACCCCCAACUUCUGAAUGUUGACCUCGGAUCAGGUAGGAAUACCCGCUGAACUUAAGC
This 315-nucleotide unclassified non-coding RNA is filed under the name plant metagenome. RNAcentral's name for it is "partial contains 5.8S ribosomal RNA, internal transcribed spacer 2, and large subunit ribosomal RNA". The stretch from base 1 to 105 matches the Rfam family "5.8S ribosomal RNA", at positions 50 to 154 of the family's 154-position model. The record is from RNAcentral.